Molecule: ribosomal RNA, 454 nt
Filed under: uncultured Thermococcus sp.
Lineage: Archaea; Methanobacteriati; Methanobacteriota; Thermococci; Thermococcales; Thermococcaceae
Description: bacterial SSU rRNA
Rfam family: Archaeal small subunit ribosomal RNA
Source: RNAcentral
CCUACGGGGUGCAGCAGGCGCGAAACCUNCGCAAUGCGGGCAACCGCGACGGGGGGACCCCCAGUGCCGUGGCACAGCCACGGCUUUUCCGGAGUGUAAAAAGCUCCGGGAAUAAGGGCUGGGCAAGGCCGGUGGCAGCCGCCGCGGUAAUACCGGCGGCCCAAGUGGUGGCCGCUAUUAUUGGGCCUAAAGCGUCCGUAGCCGGGCCCGUAAGUCCCUGGCGAAAUCCCACGGGUUAACCGUGGGGCUUGCUGGGGAUACUGCGGGCCUUGGGACCGGGAGAGGCCGGGGGUACCCCUGGGGUAGGGGUGAAAUCCUGNAAUCCCAGGGGGACCGGCAGUGGCGAAGGCGCCCGGCUGGAACGGGUCCGACGGUGAGGGACGAAGGCCAGGGGAGCNAACCGGAUUANAUACCCGGGUAGUCCUGGCUNUAAAGGAUGCGGGCUAGGUGNCGG